GCUCUCGUAGCUCAGUUGGUUGGAGCGUCUGCUUAGUUAGCGGGGGUCUUGAGUUCGACUCUCAACAAUAAUA
Molecule: non-coding RNA, 73 nt
Organism: Nicotiana attenuata
Lineage: Eukaryota; Viridiplantae; Streptophyta; Magnoliopsida; Solanales; Solanaceae
Source: Rfam